UGGGGAAUAUUGCACAAUGGGCGCAAGCCUGAUGCAGCCAUGCCGCGUGUGUGAAGAAGGCCUUCGGGUUGUAAAGCACUUUCAGCGGGGAGGAAGGCGUUAAGGUUAAUAACCUUGGCGAUUGACGUUACCCGCAGAAGAAGCACCGGCUAACUCCGUGCCAGCAGCCGCGGUAAUACGGAGGGUGCAAGCGUUAAUCGGAAUUACUGGGCGUGAAGCGCACGCAGGCGGUCUGUCUAGUCGGAUGUGAAAUCCCCGGGAUCAACCUGGGAGCUGCAUUCGAAACUGGCAGGCUAGAGUCUUGUAGAGGGGGGUAGAAUUCCAGGUGUGGCGGUGAGAUGCGUAGAGAUCUGGAGGAAUACCGGUAGCGAAGGCGGCCCCCUGGACAAAGAAUGACGCUCAGGUGCGAAAGCGUGGGGAGCAAACAGG
RNAcentral lists this ribosomal RNA (429 nucleotides) under Chloroflexota bacterium. RNAcentral's name for it is "Chloroflexi bacterium partial 16S ribosomal RNA". It matches the Rfam family "Bacterial small subunit ribosomal RNA", at positions 355 to 776 of the family's 1533-position model. The record is from RNAcentral. Lineage: Bacteria; Bacillati; Chloroflexota.